This 497-nucleotide ribosomal RNA is filed under the name uncultured bacterium. Its description in RNAcentral is "partial 16S ribosomal RNA". It matches the Rfam family "Bacterial small subunit ribosomal RNA", at positions 28 to 507 of the family's 1533-position model. The record is from RNAcentral.
GAUGAACGCUGGCGGCGUGCCUAAUACAUGCAAGUCGAGCGAACGGACGAGAAGCUUGCUUUUCUGAUGUUAGCGGCGGACGGGUGAGUAACACGUGGAUAACCUACCUAUAAGACUGGGAUAACUUCGGGAAACCGGAGCUAAUACCGGAUAAUAUUUUGAACCGCAUGGUUCAAAAGUGAAAGACGGUCUUGCUGUCACUUAUAGAUGGAUCCGCGCUGCAUUAGCUAGUUGGUAAGGUAACGUCUUACCAAGGCAACGAUGCAUAGCCGACCUGAGAGGGUGAUCGGCCACACUGGAACUGAGACACGGUCCAGACUCCUACGGGAGGCAGCAGUAGGGAAUCUUCCGCAAAGGGCGAAAGCCUGACGGAGCAACGCCGCGUGAGUGAUGAAGGUCUUCGGAUCGUAAAACUCUGUUAUUAGGGAAGAACAUAUGUGUAAGUAACUGUGCACAUCUUGACGGUACCUAAUCAGAAAGCCACGGCUAACUACGUG